AGAGCGAACGCUGGCGGCAUGCCUAACACAUGCAAGUCGAACGAGACCUUCGGGUCUAGUGGCGCACGGGUGCGUAACGCGUGGGAAUCUGCCCUUGGGUUCGGAAUAACAGUUGGAAACGACUGCUAAUACCGGAUGAUGACGUAAGUCCAAAGAUUUAUCGCCCAGGGAUGAGCCCGCGUAGGAUUAGCUAGUUGGUGAGGUAAAGGCUCACCAAGGCGACGAUCCUUAGCUGGUCUGAGAGGAUGAUCAGCCACACUGGGACUGAGACACGGCCCAGACUCCGUACGGGAGGCAGCA
Molecule: ribosomal RNA, 300 nt
Filed under: uncultured soil bacterium
Lineage: Bacteria
Description: bacterial SSU rRNA
Rfam family: Bacterial small subunit ribosomal RNA
Source: RNAcentral